CCGCGUGAAGGAUGAAGGCCUUCGGGUCGUAAACUUCUGUUAGGUGGGAAGAAAUAUGUAGGCUUAAUAGGUCUGCAGGAUGACGGUACCACCAGAGAAAGCACCGGCUAACUUCGUGCCAGCAGCCGCGGUAAUACGAAGGGUGCAAGCGUUAUUCGGAAUUAUUGGGCGUAAAGGGUAUGCAGGCGGCAUGCUAAGUCAACUGUCUAAUUUCUCGGCCUAACCGGGAGUCGGCGGUAGAUACUAGUGUGCUAGAGGAUGAGAGAGAGGAGUGCAAUUCUCGGAGUAGCGGUAAAAUGCGUAGAUCUCGAGAGGAACACCGAUGGCGAAAGCAGCUUCUUGGCUCAUUCCUGACGCUCAGAUACGAAAGCGUGGGUAGCAAACAGGAUUAGAUACCCUGGUAGUCCACGCUGUAAACGAUGAUCACUAGACGUUGAGCUUGCUUUGCAAGCCCAGUGUCGAAGCUAACGCGAUAAGUGAUCCGCCUGGGGAGUACGGUCGCAAGAUUAAAACUCAAAGAAAUUGACGGGGGUCCGCACAAGCGGUGGAACCAGUGGUUUAAUUCGAUGUUACGCGAGAAACCCUACCUAGGUUUGACAUGUAUAGGACCGUCAUAAAGAUAUGAUUUUUCGAGGUUUUCUCGAACCUAUACCCCGGGUGCUGCCUGGGCUGUCGUC
RNAcentral lists this ribosomal RNA (677 nucleotides) under uncultured Candidatus Babelota bacterium. RNAcentral describes it as "bacterial SSU rRNA". It matches the Rfam family "Bacterial small subunit ribosomal RNA", at positions 397 to 1056 of the family's 1533-position model. The record is from RNAcentral.